CCUUCUGUUUGUUGUUUGUCCUUGUGCAUGUGAUGGCCCAAGCUGGUUGAUCUGAGACUUGCAUGAAAACAUUACCUCAUGGACUUUUUCAAGGGUGCGAGGUGAAAGCAGAAGCCAGAGGUUCUGUCCUCCAGAUCCAUCUUUGGAAUUCAAGAACUGAGAGGAAAUAGCCAGUGAAAACACAAGCCGCUCCUUUUAUCUGAAGUCCUGCACAACGGUGUCUGCUUGGGUGGGAGGGGGGUGGCCGGCAUCCUAUUCUGCUUCCCCAGAGAACCUCUUGUCUCCAGGCAUCUGUCAGGUGUCCUCUCUUAAAGGGCAGCCUUUCCACUCUCAGGACCUUUUCACCUAUGGUCUCCCUCCAUCCUUAAAUAGUUCACUUAGAAGAACAGGAAUGAUGUAAGGGAGAGAAAAAGAAGGAAUGAAAAGACACUCUCUCUGUGGUAGGUGGAGAUGUCUGCCCAGAGGUUAGUUUCUAACGGGACGUCCCAGCAAUCUGCAUGUAAUCCUGAUUACACCUGGGAAUAUGAGUAUUAUGAGAUUGGACCAGCUUCCUUUGAAGGACUGAAGGCUCACAAAUGAUUCCAGGGAAAAGGCCUGGGCUGCGGUCACAGUGGGCGGGGCCCCCAGGCCGGACCGCCCCUCCAGGACCCCCGACGGGACCCUGCGCUCCUGGCGGCUUCCUCCCCCGGCGCCCGCCUCCCUCCCAGAAGGCCUCGGGGCAGAGCUGUCCCACCACCGUGCCCAGAACGGAGCCCGCGUUUCCGCAGAGCUGGAACUCCUGGCUGGGGGUCUCUUCCCUCUGCCGUCACGGAACUGCCCCAGAGCCCGAGGGGAGGGCGGCCUCACUGAGGCUGCCGGCUCUGGAGGGGCCCCGGCGGCCGAAGCCGCUACAGCCGUGGGGACGGCGGGCCGGGCCUCUCACUGUUGUGACCUCUCCCA
Molecule: non-coding RNA, 939 nt
Organism: Delphinapterus leucas (beluga whale)
Lineage: Eukaryota; Metazoa; Chordata; Mammalia; Artiodactyla; Monodontidae
Source: RefSeq, a predicted model, not a curated record